This 126-nucleotide microRNA precursor is filed under the name Chlorocebus sabaeus (green monkey). RNAcentral describes it as "miRNA (ENSCSAG00000020532.1)". The record is from RNAcentral. Lineage: Eukaryota; Metazoa; Chordata; Mammalia; Primates; Cercopithecidae.
CCCAGGGACCUUGUGAAAAUGUAGUUUCUAACCCAGGAGGUCUGGGAUGGGGCUUGAGAUGCUGCAUUUCUACCGAGUUCCCAGGUGAUGCUGAUGAUCCUGGUUCACUGACCACAUUUUGAAUUA